AGGGGCGUAAGCUCAACGGUUAAACUGCCGGUCUCGGUUAAACUGCCGGUCUCCAAAACCGGACUUGGGGGUUCGAAUCCCUCCGCCCCUGCCA
RNAcentral lists this transfer RNA (94 nucleotides) under Candidatus Sulfotelmatobacter kueseliae. Its description in RNAcentral is "tRNA-Trp". It matches the Rfam family "tRNA". Rfam says of the family: Transfer RNA (tRNA) molecules are approximately 80 nucleotides in length. Their secondary structure includes four short double-helical elements and three loops (D, anti-codon, and T loops). Further hydrogen bonds mediate the characteristic L-shaped molecular structure. tRNAs have two regions of fundamental functional importance: the anti-codon, which is responsible for specific mRNA codon recognition, and the 3' end, to which the tRNAs corresponding amino acid is attached (by aminoacyl-tRNA synthetases). tRNAs cope with the degeneracy of the genetic code in two manners: having more than one tRNA (with a specific anti-codon) for a particular amino acid; and 'wobble' base-pairing, i.e. permitting non-standard base-pairing at the 3rd anti-codon position. The record is from RNAcentral. Lineage: Bacteria; Pseudomonadati; Acidobacteriota; Terriglobia; Terriglobales; Candidatus Korobacteraceae.